RNAcentral lists this transfer RNA (66 nucleotides) under Osteochilus melanopleura. RNAcentral's name for it is "tRNA-Cys". The record is from RNAcentral. Lineage: Eukaryota; Metazoa; Chordata; Actinopteri; Cypriniformes; Cyprinidae.
AGCCCUGUGGUGUAAACAUAUUGGGUUGCAAGCCCAAGGAUGCAGAUUAGUAGUCUGCCGGGGCUU